GACGGAGGGUGCUAGCGUUGUUCGGAAUGACUGGGCGUAAAGGGCGCGUAGGCGGCCGCUUGCGUCGGAUGUGAAAGCCCGGGGCUCAACCCCGGAACUGCAUCCGAUACGGGGCGGCUCGAGACCGAGAGAGGUGAGUGGAAUACCCAGUGUAGAGGUGAAAUUCGUAGAUAUUGGGUGGAACACCGGUGGCGAAGGCGGCAUCCUGGACCGGCAUUGACGCCGAGGCGCGAAAGCCAGGGGAGCAAACGGG
This 253-nucleotide ribosomal RNA is filed under the name uncultured bacterium. Its description in RNAcentral is "partial 16S ribosomal RNA". It matches the Rfam family "Bacterial small subunit ribosomal RNA", at positions 524 to 776 of the family's 1533-position model. The record is from RNAcentral.